This 539-nucleotide ribosomal RNA is filed under the name uncultured bacterium. RNAcentral's name for it is "bacterial SSU rRNA". It matches the Rfam family "Bacterial small subunit ribosomal RNA", at positions 356 to 896 of the family's 1533-position model. The record is from RNAcentral.
GAGGAAUAUUGGUCAAUGGGCGAGAGCCUGAACCAGCCAAGUAGCGUGCAGGAUGACGGCCCUAUGGGUUGUAAACUGCUUUUAUGUGGGGAUAAAGUGAGCUACGUGUAGUUUAUUGCAGGUACCACAUGAAUAAGGACCGGCUAAUUCCGUGCCAGCAGCCGCGGUAAUACGGAAGGUCCAGGCGUUAUCCGGAUUUAUUGGGUUUAAAGGGAGCGUAGGCCGUGGAUUAAGCGUGUUGUGAAAUGUAGACGCUCAACGUCUGAAUUGCAGCGCGAACUGGUUCACUUGAGUAUGCACAACGUAGGCGGAAUUCGUCGUGUAGCGGUGAAAUGCUUAGAUAUGACGAAGAACUCCGAUUGCGAAGGCAGCUUACGGGAGCACAACUGACGCUGAAGCUCGAAGGUGCGGGUAUCAAACAGGAUUAGAUACCCUGGUAGUCCGCACAGUAAACGAUGGAUGCCCGCUGUUGGUACCUGGUAUCAGCGGCUAAGCGAAAGCAUUAAGCAUCCCACCUGGGGAGUACGCCGGCAACGGUG